RNAcentral lists this unclassified non-coding RNA (262 nucleotides) under uncultured fungus. RNAcentral describes it as "partial contains 5.8S ribosomal RNA, internal transcribed spacer 2, and large subunit ribosomal RNA". Lineage: Eukaryota; Fungi. The record is from RNAcentral.
AACGCACAUUGCGCCCCCUGGCAUUCCGGGGGGCAUGCCUGUCCGAGCGUCAUUUCUGCCCUCAAGCGCGGCUUGUGUGUUGGGCGUGGUCCCCCCUGAUUUUGGGGGGGACCUGCCCGAAAGGCAGCGGCGACGUCCCGCCUAGGACCUCGAGCGUAUGGGGCUUUGUCACGCGCUCGGGAGGGGCCUGCGGGCGUUGGUCACCCCUAUUUCUUUUUGACGGUUGACCUCGGAUCAGGUAGGAGUUACCCGCUGAACUUAA